Molecule: ribosomal RNA, 253 nt
Filed under: uncultured bacterium
Lineage: Bacteria
Description: partial 16S ribosomal RNA
Rfam family: Bacterial small subunit ribosomal RNA
Source: RNAcentral
UACGUAGGUGGCAAGCGUUGUCCGGAUUUAUUGGGCGUAAAGCGCGCGCAGGCGGUUCUUUAAGUCUGAUGUGAAAUCUCGCGGCUCAACCGCGAGCGGUCAUUGGAAACUGGGGGACUUGAGUGCAGAAGAGGAGAGCGGAAUUCCACGUGUAGCGGUGAAAUGCGUAGAGAUGUGGAGGAACACCAGUGGCGAAGGCGGCUCUCUGGUCUGUAACUGACGCUGAGGCGCGAAAGCGUGGGGAGCGAACAGG